This 460-nucleotide ribosomal RNA is filed under the name uncultured bacterium. RNAcentral describes it as "partial 16S ribosomal RNA". It matches the Rfam family "Bacterial small subunit ribosomal RNA", at positions 338 to 795 of the family's 1533-position model. The record is from RNAcentral.
CCUACGGGUGGCAGCAGUGAGGAAUAUUGGUCAAUGGCCGGAAGGCUGAACCAGCCAUGCCGCGUGAAGGUCAGUGCCCUAUGGGCGUUAAACUUCUUUUGUGCGGGAGCAAUAAUGGUCACGUGUGGCCAGACGAGAGUACCGUACGAAUAAGCAUCGGCUAACUCCGUGCCAGCAGCCGCGGUAAUACGGGGGAUGCAAGCGUUAUCCGGAUUUAUUGGGUUUAAAGGGUGCGUAGGCUGUGAGGUAAGUCAGCGGUGAAAUGCCCCCGCUCAACGGGGUGAAGUGCCAUUGAUACUGCCUGGCUGGAAUGCGGAUGCCGUGGGAGGAAUGUGUGGUGUAGCGGUGAAAUGCAUAGAUAUCACACAGAACACGGAUUGCGAAGGCAUCUCACGAAUCCGCGAUUGACGCUGAUGCACGAAAGCGCGGGUAUCAAACAGGAUUAGAUACCCUUGUAGUC